CUACGGGCGGCUCCAGUGGGGAAUAUUGCACAAUGGGCGCAAGCCUGAUGUAGCAACGCCGCGUGAGGGAUGAAGGCCUUCGGGUUGUAAACCUCUUUUAGCAGGGAAGAAGCGAAAGUGACGGUACCUGCAGAAAAAGCACCGGCUAACUACGUGCCAGCAGCCGCGGGAAUACGUAGGGUGCAAGCGUUGUCCGGAAUUAUUGGGCGUAAAGAGCUCGUAGGCGGUUUGUCACGUCUGCUGUGAAAAUCCAAGGCUCAACCUUGGACUUGCAGUGGGUACGGGCAGGCUAGAGUGCGGUAGGGGAGAUGGGAAUUCCUGGUGUAGCGGUGGAAUGCGCAGAUAUCAGGAGGAACACCAAUGGCGAAGGCACAUCUCUGGGCCGUAACUGACGCUGAGGAGCGAAAGCGUGGGGAGCGAACAGGAUUAGAUACCCGAGUAGUC
RNAcentral lists this ribosomal RNA (444 nucleotides) under uncultured bacterium. Its description in RNAcentral is "partial 16S ribosomal RNA". It matches the Rfam family "Bacterial small subunit ribosomal RNA", at positions 339 to 795 of the family's 1533-position model. The record is from RNAcentral.